CUUGAGUGACGGUGACUCGUUGGUUGUCCUGCAUAUUGACCAGAGUGGGAGGAGUUAAGACCAGACUGGUGGUAACCACCUCUCUCCCAGCAGCGUAUCACUUCUCUCUCUAGAAAAAACCAUUUGUUUGGCAGUUUUCAGCUCAAACUGGUCGACCGUGUUUGUGUAUGUGUUGCUUUGCCACGUCUAAUCUGUGUGUAGAGGGUGAGUUUACCUGCUGGUAAGUACACUCCAGGGUGGGCGUUCAGGUGAACGUGGGACAUGGUCAGACAUGUAUGUUAGCGUAUACUCAACAAUAAGGAAGCUGAAAUCCUUCCUGGUGCUGGUCAUAUUGAAACAGAUGUUUCUAAAUGCAGAUGUGAUCUCCCAGCUGUUCUACACAGUGUUGCAGUGAACAAAAUGAAUGUGUUAGUGGAGCAGCAGGUCUUACUGAGUUUUACAGCUUAUUGUGUCAACUUUGAAUUCUCACACUAAUUCUUCUGCUUUUCUAUUUAGUUUACAUACCAGUGCUGUGUGCCAGAAGGUUCCUCAGCUUCUGAAGUUGGAUGGAAAUGACCUCCCCCCACCCAUUGGCUUUGAUGUGGACACACCCACCACUCUCCCACCUUGUAAGUGAUGCGUUUCCAUCUGCUGAAGCACACACGACUGAAUGUGGUGACGUUCCUCAACGAGCUGCCAUAAACCCAGCAUGACAUCAUCUCUUUCACCGUGGACGUAAACGCCUACACAUUUGUGCAUCAUCAACGACCAGCUCUUCAUCAGAAUGGCUACAACGGAGCAGAUCAGCAGAGCUUUUGUGCCCCGCCCCCUUCCUCCAGCCCAGUGCCCACCCUCACUGCCCCACAGCAGGAGAUGCUCAGCACCUUCUCCCUG
Molecule: long non-coding RNA, 873 nt
Filed under: Gouania willdenowi (blunt-snouted clingfish)
Lineage: Eukaryota; Metazoa; Chordata; Actinopteri; Blenniiformes; Gobiesocidae
Description: lncRNA (ENSGWIG00000018173.1)
Source: RNAcentral